RNAcentral lists this ribosomal RNA (1206 nucleotides) under Staphylococcus pseudintermedius. RNAcentral's name for it is "partial 23S ribosomal RNA". It matches the Rfam family "Bacterial large subunit ribosomal RNA", at positions 1603 to 2810 of the family's 2925-position model. Lineage: Bacteria; Bacillati; Bacillota; Bacilli; Caryophanales; Staphylococcaceae. The record is from RNAcentral.
CACUGCCGAGAAAAGCCUCUAGCUAGAAUAACGGUGCCCGUACCGCAAACCGACACAGGUAGUCAAGAUGAGAAUUCUAAGGUGAGCGAGCGAACUCUCGUUAAGGAACUCGGCAAAAUGACCCCGUAACUUCGGGAGAAGGGGUGCUCUUUGAGGUUCACGCUUCGAAGAGCCGCAGUGAAUAGGCCCAAGCGACUGUUUAUCAAAAACACAGGUCUCUGCUAAACCGUAAGGUGACGUAUAGGGGCUGACGCCUGCCCGGUGCUGGAAGGUUAAGAGGAGUGGUUAGCGCAAGCGAAGCUACGAAUCGAAGCCCCAGUAAACGGCGGCCGUAACUAUAACGGUCCUAAGGUAGCGAAAUUCCUUGUCGGGUAAGUUCCGACCCGCACGAAAGGCGUAACGAUUUGGGCACUGUCUCAACGAGAGACUCGGUGAAAUCAUAGUACCGGUGAAGAUGCCGGUUACCCGCGACAGGACGGAAAGACCCCGUGGAGCUUUACUGUAGCCUGAUAUUGAAAUUCGGUACAGUUUGUACAGGAUAGGUAGGAGCCUUAGAAGCGUGAGCGCUAGCUUACGUGGAGGCAUUGGUGGGAUACUACCCUAAUUGUAUUGGAUUUCUAACCCGCAGCACUUAUCGUGCUGGGAGACAGUGUCAGGCGGGCAGUUUGACUGGGGCGGUCGCCUCCUAAAGAGUAACGGAGGCGCUCAAAGGUUCCCUCAGAAUGGUUGGAAAUCAUUCAUAGAGUGUAAAGGCAUAAGGGAGCUUGACUGCGAGACCUACAAGUCGAGCAGGGUCGAAAGACGGACUUAGUGAUCCGGUGGUUCCGCAUGGAAGGGCCAUCGCUCAACGGAUAAAAGCUACCCCGGGGAUAACAGGCUUAUCUCCCCCAAGAGUUCACAUCGACGGGGAGGUUUGGCACCUCGAUGUCGGCUCAUCGCAUCCUGGGGCUGUAGUCGGUCCCAAGGGUUGGGCUGUUCGCCCAUUAAAGCGGUACGCGAGCUGGGUUCAGAACGUCGUGAGACAGUUCGGUCCCUAUCCGUCGUGGGCGUAGGAAAUUUGAGAGGAGCUGUCCUUAGUACGAGAGGACCGGGAUGGACAUACCUCUGGUGUACCAGUUGUCGUGCCAACGGCAUAGCUGGGUAGCUAUGUAUGGACGGGAUAAGUGCUGAAAGCAUCUAAGCAUGAAGCCCCCCUCGAGAUGAGAU